GACGAACGCUGGCGGCGUGCUUAACACAUGCAAGUCGAGCGGUAAGGCCCUUUCGGGGGUACACGAGCGGCGAACGGGUGAGUAACACGUGGGUGACCUGCCCUCAGCUCUGGGAUAAGCCUGGGAAACCGGGUCUAAUACUGGAUAUGACUCCAUGACGCAUGUUGGUGGGGUGGAAAGCCUUGUGCGGCUGAGGAUGGGCCCGCGGCCUAUCAGCUUGUUGGGUGGGGUGAUGGCCUACCAAGGCGACGACGGGUAGCCGGCCUGAGAGGGCGACCGGCCACACUGGGACUGAGACACGGCCCAGACUCC
This 312-nucleotide ribosomal RNA is filed under the name uncultured bacterium. RNAcentral's name for it is "bacterial SSU rRNA". It matches the Rfam family "Bacterial small subunit ribosomal RNA", at positions 28 to 339 of the family's 1533-position model. The record is from RNAcentral.